AUGUCAUCGACGAGAGCGCGGCGGAGCGGCGGCCGGCAGUUCGCGGCGGGCGGCCGGUGGCGGCACGUGGCGGUGGUGGACACGGGGUGCCGGUGCCGCCCGCGCCGCCCGAGGCUGGCGUCCUUCCUCUGGCCGUCCACGAAGCCGCCGGUGACGAGGAGCAGCAGCAGCUCCCAUCCGUCAUCCUUCGUCCCCUCCUCCGCCUCCGCCCACGUCUACAAGCACCACCAGGAGCCCUACGGGGUGACGGCAAAGGCGUCGGCGCUGGUUGCGGCGAAGAAGGUGGGCAGCAAUCCGGCGAAAAAGAGGCCCGAGAAGAUGGCGGCGGCGGCCGAGGAGGAGGAGGUUGGGGUGGCGGUGGAGAAGGAGUCGUCGGAUCCGCGGGCCGACUUCCGUGACAGCAUGGUGCGGAUGGUGGUGGAGAUGGGGCUCUGCGACUCGGACGGCCUCCGCUCCAUGCUUCGCCGCCUGCUCGCCCUCAACGCGCCGCGGCACCACGCCGCCAUCCUCGCUGCCUUCGCCGAGGUCUGCGCCCAGCUGGCCUCGGAGUCUCCAGCGCCGCCGCCUCCGGCGUAUCAAUACACGAGUGACGAGUGA
Molecule: ribosomal RNA, 597 nt
Filed under: Triticum aestivum (bread wheat)
Lineage: Eukaryota; Viridiplantae; Streptophyta; Magnoliopsida; Poales; Poaceae
Description: partial small subunit ribosomal RNA
Source: RNAcentral